CCAUACAAGCCGGGGAGUUAGCGGAGCCCUGUACCUGAAAUCCGCUACAGCAGGGGUGUAUUCCUUUUUUGAGGGUUGAGCCGUUGCGGCUUGAGCCGUUACCUGCUGCGUUGAAGAGUGGGUCUUGCGCAAUCAGGCGCUGUGAACCAUGUCAGGUGGGGAACCAAGCAGCAUUAAGCGGUUUUCCUGAUGUGCCGCGAGGCAGCCUGCUCCGAGCAGAAGGUGCGAAUAACACGCAGCGGUGAGAUUCGAUUUAAAGGUGUAUGG
RNAcentral lists this signal recognition particle RNA (267 nucleotides) under Clostridia bacterium. RNAcentral describes it as "signal recognition particle sRNA large type". It matches the Rfam family "Bacterial large signal recognition particle RNA". Rfam says of the family: The signal recognition particle (SRP) is a universally conserved ribonucleoprotein involved in the co-translational targeting of proteins to membranes. Lineage: Bacteria; Bacillati; Bacillota; Clostridia. The record is from RNAcentral.